RNAcentral lists this transfer RNA (69 nucleotides) under Bos taurus (domestic cattle). It matches the Rfam family "tRNA". From Rfam's summary of the family: Transfer RNA (tRNA) molecules are approximately 80 nucleotides in length. Their secondary structure includes four short double-helical elements and three loops (D, anti-codon, and T loops). RNAcentral also lists the same sequence under 4 other names. The record is from Rfam by way of RNAcentral. Lineage: Eukaryota; Metazoa; Chordata; Mammalia; Artiodactyla; Bovidae.
CCUGGUGGCUCAGAGGUUAAAGCGUCUGCCUGCAAUGCAGGAGACCUAAGUUCGAUCCCUAGGUCAGGA